AUUAAUAUGGCAGAUUAGUGCAAUGAGUUUAAGCCUCAUUUAUGAGGAUUUUAAUUCCUCUUUUAAUA
RNAcentral lists this transfer RNA (68 nucleotides) under Halicryptus spinulosus. Its description in RNAcentral is "transfer RNA-Leu (UUR)". The record is from RNAcentral. Lineage: Eukaryota; Metazoa; Priapulida; Priapulimorpha; Priapulimorphida; Priapulidae.